This 440-nucleotide ribosomal RNA is filed under the name uncultured Synechocystis sp. RNAcentral's name for it is "bacterial SSU rRNA". It matches the Rfam family "Bacterial small subunit ribosomal RNA", at positions 1060 to 1498 of the family's 1533-position model. Lineage: Bacteria; Bacillati; Cyanobacteriota; Cyanophyceae; Synechococcales; Merismopediaceae. The record is from RNAcentral.
UCGUGUCGUGAGAUGUUGGGUUAAGUCCCGCAACGAGCGCAACCCUCGUUUUUAGUUGCCAUCAUUAAGUUGGGCACUCUAAAGAGACUGCCGGUGACAAACCGGAGGAAGGUGGGGAUGACGUCAAGUCAUCAUGCCCCUUACGUCUUGGGCUACACACGUACUACAAUGGUCGGGACAACGGGCAGCAACUCCGCGAGGACAAGCGAAUCCCAGCAAACCCGGCCUCAGUUCAGAUUGCAGGCUGCAACUCGCCUGCAUGAAGGAGGAAUCGCUAGUAAUCGCAGGUCAGCAUACUGCGGUGAAUUCGUUCCCGGGCCUUGUACACACCGCCCGUCACACCAUGGGAGCUGGUCACGCCCGAAGUCGUUACUCCAACCUUUCGAGGAGGAGGAUGCCUAAGGCAGGGCUAGUGACUGGGGUGAAGGCGUAACAAGGUA